Molecule: long non-coding RNA, 2826 nt
Filed under: Mytilus galloprovincialis (Mediterranean mussel)
Lineage: Eukaryota; Metazoa; Mollusca; Bivalvia; Mytilida; Mytilidae
Source: RNAcentral
CUGCUGUUUUAACAAUUUACUCGGAUUACAGUGUUAGCCAGAGUAUCCCUGUUAUUAGUUAAAGAAAAUUAGAUUAUUACAUAACAAUAUCUUGUACUAGUGUUUGCAAGUAGCUAAAAUUCAUGCCCAUAAAACAUAUAAGACUGUCUUUUGAAUUUACAUGUAAAAUUUGUCACUUGAAGUUAAGCAGACAUCAAUCAAUCAGUGCUUCGUAUAAAGCUUUUGAGACUGACAUUUUGAAUUGUGUAGAUUUUAAAUAUUUGUUUUUUUUUUAAAUAUAAAUCUCUGGAAACUUAAGUCUUGUUGGUGUUAUGAAUUAUUUGUUUGGUAACACAAGAUGAUUCAACUUUGCAUUAAACUUAUUUCAUAGGCAAGGAUUUACAAUGAUAUUUUAUUUAUUCAUUGUGGAAUUCAAAAUUUCUGUGAAAAUAAUGUGUCCAUUCUCACAUUAUGAUUUAACUAAAUCCUGAAUUCAUGACGAUUUAACUGGUGAAUUCCUGACUACUUUCAAAUUGAACAGCUAAGCCUUGAAUACCCUGAAAAAUACUUCCACAUUUACAUUUUCUGGUCACACUAUCACUUAUGAUAAAUAAGCGUUCUUUUACUUAAGUGGUCCCAUACCAUAUGAGCCUUAUUAAAGUAACCCUAACUUGUGCCUAACACAAUUUCUCAAACAUCCCUCUUAACGUAAAACAAAUCCUCAAAAUCUUCAGUCCUCACUUUAAGCCUAAACUGAACCCUAAGGGAGUAUCCAGGAUUCUUGAGAAAAGAGAGGCUCCCUUGGCAAGACUCAAUGUUUGCAUUGUAUUUGAAGCUCCAUAAGGGAGGGGGGUCAGAUCCCCCAACCCUUAAUCUGCCUCUGCAACCCUUACAUUUAUGGAAAAUUAAGAAACCAUUAUAAUCAUGAAUAUUGAAAGAACAUAUUGCAAAUAUUUCAGGUGUGUAGACUUUUGAUGAACUUAUGAUUUGCAUUGCUCCAUUACAAUCUCCCAUACAGACAGAGUUAUCGUCCUUUCCUCGAGGAAAGGACGAUAACUCUGUCUGUAUGGGAGAUUGGCUCCAUUAGUGAAGCUUACCUCCCUUGUUUUUAUAUACUUUGUUUUUAAAUUUUACACUGCACAAUUAAAAUACAGUUCAAAUUCUUUUAACAUAUUUCAUAGUUUGCAUUGUAAUUUUAGAAAAUGCCCUCAUAAUAUUGAAAAUUUCCACAGAAUGUUACAUGAAUAGCCUUAUAUAUAUAAUUCCAAUAUGAAUUAGAAAAAAGUUUAACAAUAUUUUUAAGCAGUACAAAAACUAAUUUAAAAAUUGAAUGCUAAUAAUGACUAUACAUGACACUGAUCUAAAAUCUAGACUAAUGACUAGUCUCAUAUUUCCAUUGUUGAAUGCAACUUUAUGAAUUGUGAAUUAAAUCCAUUCAUUUUUGACAUCAUGAUUAUUUCUGUGGAGUCUACAUAAUGGACAAAUCCUUGAUCGAAAUUCAAGUUUAUACGAUUUGAAUAAGAAUGUUCAUGCCAUACUAAAUCUUUGAUGAUGGGAGUAAAAAUGCAGUUGGGUAAAAAAUGUAUAAUGUGAAAUGAACCUUGCACAUCUCCCUAUACAGUUUCGUCUAAUCCUUCGUGAAGUUUAUGUCAAUUUUGUAACGUGGUCCUCAUUUUUGACUAAUGUAGUUUCAUAUUUCCAUUGUUGUACAUAUAUACUAUAUGAAUCGUGAAUUAAAUUUAAAUCCAUUCAUUUUUGACAUCUUGAUUAUUCCUGAGUCUAUAUAAUGGAGAAAUCCUCGAUAGAAACUCAGGUGGAUGCGAUUUAAAUAAGAUAUAUGUACAUUACCAAUGUCUUAUUUACAUGUCAAAAUACAUGUGAACUGGUGAUUGGAAUUUUUAAAUUUUCGGUUCCAAUUGGUGGACCGCAUACAAACUAUUAAGACAUCUUGAUUAUUCCUGAGUCUACAUAUAAAUGGAGAAAUCCUCGAUAAAAACUCAGGUUGAUGCGAUUUGAAUAAGAUUGUUAAUGCCAUAAUUAUUAUUACAAAAAUCUUUGAUCCACAAAGUCAAAAUGCAUCUGUAGAAAUAAUGUAAAAUGCGAAAUGAACCUUGCACAUUUCCCUUUACAGUUUUGUCUAAUCCGUGGUGAUGUUUACAUCAAUUUUGCAAUGUGGUCUUCAUUUUUUAUAUGACAUUUUUCAACUCCUCCAUAUUGUUUUCACAUAGAGCACUAACUUUAGUUAGUUCUUCCUUAAUAAUGUGUAUUUGAUCCUGCUGAAGAGCCACAAUGAUUAUUAAUACCACAAUUAAAAAUUCUUUCAGAAACUUAGGUAUAUUUUCCCCAUCUUGAUAGGAUACUAGAGAAAAAACACCAAGUCCAAAAAUAAAUUGAAAUGCCAUUUUAAUCAGGAAUAGGUACAUUUCCAUUGUCUUAUUUACAUGUCAAAAUACAUGUGAACUGGUGAUUGGAAUUUUUUAAUUUCGGUUCCAAUUGGUGGACCACAUACAAACUAUUAAGACAUUAACAAGUUUACAUCAAUUUUGCAACGUGGUCUUCAUUUUUGAUAUAACAUUUUUCAACUCCUCCGUAUUGUUUUCACAUAGAGCACUAACUUUAGCUAGUUCAUCCUUAAUAAUGUGUAUUUGAUCCUGUUGUUGAGCCACAAUGAUUAUUAAUACCACAAUUAAUAACCCUCUCAGAAAUCUAGGUAUAUUAUCUGCAUUCUGAUAGAAUACUAGAGAAAAAAGACCAAGUACAAAAAUAAUUUCAAAUGCCUUUUUAAUCUCGUAUAUGUACAUUACCAAUGUCUUAUUUACAUGUCAAAAUACAUGUGAACUCGGAAUU